GUCUCUGGUCACACCAGCCUGAAUGCCCCUGAAUUCAUCUAAUAUCGGCAGCUAAGCAGGGUUGGGCCUGGUUAGUACUUGGAUGGAAUAAAAGAUAAUUUCAGUUU
This 107-nucleotide ribosomal RNA is filed under the name Ovis aries (sheep). The record is from RNAcentral. Lineage: Eukaryota; Metazoa; Chordata; Mammalia; Artiodactyla; Bovidae.